UCCCCCCUUGUUCCAGUAGCUCAGUGGUAGAGCGGUCGGCUAUUAACUGACUGGUCGUAGGUUCGAAUCCUACUUGGGGAG
This is a non-coding RNA of Triticum aestivum (bread wheat), 81 nucleotides long. NCBI's taxonomy places the organism in Eukaryota, Viridiplantae, Streptophyta, Magnoliopsida, Poales, Poaceae. The record is from the annotation of a RefSeq genome assembly.